Transfer RNA from Hypholoma sublateritium FD-334 SS-4, 87 nucleotides. It matches the Rfam family "tRNA". From Rfam's summary of the family: Transfer RNA (tRNA) molecules are approximately 80 nucleotides in length. Their secondary structure includes four short double-helical elements and three loops (D, anti-codon, and T loops). The record is from Rfam. NCBI's taxonomy places the organism in Eukaryota, Fungi, Basidiomycota, Agaricomycetes, Agaricales, Strophariaceae.
CCUUCGAUAGCUCAAUCUGGAAGAGCGCGAGACUGUAAUUGACUAUCUCAUAUCUCGAGGUCGCUGGUUCGAUCCCGGCUCGAAGGA